UACGUAGGGCGCAAGCGUUGUCCGGAAUUAUUGGGCGUAAAGGGCUUGUCGCGUCUGCCGUGAAAACUCGAGGCUUAACCUUGGGCGUGCGGUGGGUACGGGCAGGCUAGAGUGCGGUAGGGGAGACUGGAAUUCCUGGUGUAGCGGUGAAAUGCGCAGAUAUCAGGAGGAACACCGAUGGCGAAGGCAGGUCUCUGGGCCGUUACUGACACUGAGAAGCGAAAGCAUGGGGAGCGAACAGG
RNAcentral lists this ribosomal RNA (242 nucleotides) under uncultured Dermabacteraceae bacterium. RNAcentral's name for it is "partial 16S ribosomal RNA". It matches the Rfam family "Bacterial small subunit ribosomal RNA", at positions 524 to 776 of the family's 1533-position model. The record is from RNAcentral. Lineage: Bacteria; Bacillati; Actinomycetota; Actinomycetes; Micrococcales; Dermabacteraceae.